Long non-coding RNA from Periophthalmus magnuspinnatus, 324 nucleotides. RefSeq lists it as uncharacterized. NCBI's taxonomy places the organism in Eukaryota, Metazoa, Chordata, Actinopteri, Gobiiformes, Gobiidae. The transcript has 4 exons. The record is from RefSeq and is a predicted model, not a curated record.
AGUCUGGUGAACCUGCAGAGGAGAGUGGAGCAGAGGCAGCAGAGGGACAGGGAGAGGCAGCUGCUCAAGGUCCAGGAGCACCUCUCUAUCAUCCAGAGCAGGAAGGCUGAGGAGGAACAGCUUUGCCUCAAAGACAGACUCAGACUGCUCACACAUGACCUCCCACAGGAGGACAUCCAGCAGCAGAAGGCGGUGGUGAAGGAGAGACUGGAGCAGCUAAGACGAGAGCGCUCCUACAUCCUGCAGUCCAAGAGAGACAAAAACACAGCCGGGUUUAAGGAGCUUCUGAUCCCCACAGGACUGCACCACACCAAAAUCAAGGAG